Molecule: non-coding RNA, 271 nt
Filed under: Capsella bursa-pastoris (shepherd's purse)
Lineage: Eukaryota; Viridiplantae; Streptophyta; Magnoliopsida; Brassicales; Brassicaceae
Source: RNAcentral
CAACGGGGUGGGAACCUAGGAGAUGGGUCUGCUUAUUUACUACUAAACCCUGAACCCUCCCAUGAUUACACGAUGGGAAUGAUAUAAUGUUGGGGGUCUUUGGCCGGCGUUUCCCCCGAAAAAUAAUUAAAAAACGUCGAUGGCUACAUAAGAGGCUCGUCUCCUUAAACAGUGAAUAAGGUUGGGUUUGGUUCGUAGGUGGUUCUGCUGAAGCUAGUUUAGUGUCUGCGGUUAACCGUUUCCUCGCCUUACCCUCCCACCCCCAAAUUUU